RNAcentral lists this long non-coding RNA (583 nucleotides) under Callithrix jacchus (white-tufted-ear marmoset). RNAcentral describes it as "lncRNA (ENSCJAG00000069905.1)". The record is from RNAcentral. Lineage: Eukaryota; Metazoa; Chordata; Mammalia; Primates; Cebidae.
UGAUGUUAAGAGAUGAGGCUACAUCUUCGGUGUUCGAGGCUCUUCAAGAAGCAUGUGGCACAACUGCACAGGUAGCCAAGAUCAAGCAUUUGGAUUCCUACAUUGAUAAUUAUAGUUCCCAGAAAUGUUAAUAUAUUUGCUCUCGGAUCUACCCUACAACAAAAACGAGCAUUGUCAAAUUGCUACACCCAUAUCAUCAUUCACAACAGAUUACUGUAGCCUGGAACUCCUGGGCUCAAGGGAUUCUCCUGCUUCAGCCUCUCAAGUAGCUGGGACUACAGGCCUUCUGACAAGCAAAUGAAGCUCACUGGCAGUAGUGAUCCGGAGGCAAAUUGGACAAUUCGUGACUGAGUUACAAAAGAAGAUACCUUACAAAGAUUAUAGUGUGACAUGAUGCUUGUCUGAAGCUUUGACUUUCCUAUCAAAAUAAUAAAUAGAAAAUAAUGGAAAUUUCAAUAAUUCACUUGUAUUUCUGAUGGUGAGAUUCACCAAACUCCCUAAAACCACACUCAACCAUUUUUAUUGAGAAACAUCAGUUUUCUGUCAGAUAACUUAUGAAUAUAACUUCUUUCUUUUUUCAGAU